Acipenser ruthenus (sterlet) is the source of this 4099-nucleotide long non-coding RNA. RefSeq lists it as uncharacterized. The transcript is spliced from 4 exons. The record is from RefSeq and is a predicted model, not a curated record. NCBI's taxonomy places the organism in Eukaryota, Metazoa, Chordata, Actinopteri, Acipenseriformes, Acipenseridae.
AUUGCUUAUAUAUUGUAUGUUUUACCUCUUCAACUUUCUUAAUGGGUAGCCACCCUGAAUAUAUAUUUUCUAUUUAUUUCAGUGUUUCCAGACUCAUUUUUGUGAGGCAUCUUGGUGGUGUGUUAGCAGUUGCUAAUAUCAAGGAGGCGGUGAAUAUGGAGAAACAUGGCAUGAAUCUGGCAUGCUGGCCCACAAGCAAAACUGCUUCACUGAUUUCCAGACUGCUGCUGAAUAUCUUAUCAGAAAGGGCUACACAUCCCCUAGCAAAAUUAGCAUUAAUGGAGGCUCCAAUAGAGGACUUUUAGUGGCUGCAUGUGUGAACCAGAGACCUGACUUGUUUGGUUGUGCUGUGGCUCAGGUUGGGGUCAUGGAUAUGCUGAAGUUUCAUAAGUUUGCUAUAGGUCAUGCUCAGAUCUCAAAGAACAGUAUGAGUUUUUAAUUAAGUAAGUAAUCUGUUAUUCACCAGUAUGCAAAGUGCCAGCUGAAAACACUACAGUUACAGAAUUGUUUUAUACACAAAUAGUUUCACUUUGAAAGAUUUACAGUACCUAACAAGUGAACCAGUACAUUCAACUAAAUUUGGUAAUUGUUUGUACAAAUCUUCAGGAAAACAGCUUAGCUUUAUUUUAUAGAAACACAGUUGGUGAUCCUCUUUUUGCAUAUGUUUGUUGGUAUGCCUGAGAUUCCUUGCUCUCAUGAUGAGAAAAUAGAUCAACCAAAAGACCUGUCUGUGAAAACAUACAAGAUUGCAUAACUUAAACACGUGGCCCGUGUCCACUGCUGAUGUGCUUCUCUUCCAUCAGUUUCUCUUUUACAAUUUUUGAAGUCAAAUCUUUUAAAUGGCAUUAAUUGUAACCAUUGCAGAGCCAGUAAAAACUAAUAUAAACCUAAUGUGCAUUGCACAGGAAUUUAUUGCUAAGAGUGUUGAGUAAGGCUGACAUGAAGCGUUUUCAAAACCAGGUUUUAGCAAGAGAUUAAAUCUACUUCCCAUAAACAUUGCAACUAAGAAGCCUGUAACUUCUAUUGCAUAUAUAAAACCAAGUCACCAGCUGUGUUUUUAAAUUAGUGUUUCCUUUUGUAUGAGGUAUCCCUGUGUAAUAUGGUCUGAUUUAAAUAUAAACAUGUUAAAAAGUUUGAGGUUUACUAACAUGCAGAUUACCUAUUCCAGGCAAUGUAAAGUACAAACAUUGCACAUGCAUGCAUGCAUUGUGAUAUACAGUUAGAAGAAAGUUAUUUUGAAACCCUUUCCUAUAACAUCCACCUGUUUCUUAAUUACAAGAGUAAAGGAUCACUGUUUGUAAUUGUAAUUAAAAUUGUCUAUCUUUUUUUUCGUUUGGUUCAUUAAAUGAGGUGUAAUCUCUAAAGGUUUUACAUAGUGUGAUUUGUCAUCCGUGGCAUGAUUGAGGUGGUAGGUGUGAUGAAGUGGAAUUGUAUUGCUGUAGCUUAGCCAGAGUGACCUAAAACAUGGGUAAGAGUGAGGUACGGGAAUGAACCCUAUGUGAAUUGCUUUUCGGCUGCAAGUCAUUAAACAGGGAAGUGGCAAUUAGCUUUUGGAUACAGCUUGAAGAAACUUUAUUUAAUUCAAUUAUUGAACAGACUUUCCUUCUCAAUGCCAUUACCCACCAUUUGCAGUGUAAUGUUUGAGGUAAAAUCUGUGCUUGGAAAAAUAUGAUAUAUGAUCUAAGCAUGAAACACCAUUCUUAUUGUUAGCAAGAGUGAAGAUGCAGUUAGGCAAAGGGGUAUCUAUAUUCAAUAAUGCAGCAGUGUGGCGUAGUGGUUAGGGCUCUGGACUCUUGACUGGAGAGUUGUGGGUUCAAUCCCUGGUAGGGGACAUUGCUGCUGUACCCUUGAGCAAGGUACUUUACCUAAAUUGCUCCAGUAAAAACCCAACUGUAUAAAUGGGUAAUUGUAUGUAAAAAUAAUGUGGUAUCUUGUAAAAAUAAUGUGAUAUCUUGUAACAAUUGUAAGUCGCCCUGGAUAAGGGCGUCUGCUAAGAAAUAAAUAAUAAUAAUAAUAAUAAUAAUAAUAAUAAUAAUAAUAAUAAUAAUAAUAAUAAUAAUAAUAAUAAUGCUGUGUUUAUUAAGUAUUGGAGAGACUGAGGGAUUGAGGAUGUAAAGUGAUCAAGGGGGAGAUGAUUACUUAUCCAUUGGAGGGAAAGACUAUUGUUAUCCAGUAGGAAGCCAUUCAAGGCUGAGCAAGCAUAUUCACUGUAGUCUCUGAAACCUAAUAAAGGUACACUAAUAGAUUACAGUGGCACCCAAUGAAUACAUAUACAUGCAAGUUAUAAUUUGUAAUAAGCAUAUUUGUCAGGGUCUGUGCUUGAAUUGAGUAACAUACUAUUUGAACUUGUUUUGCCACCCGGUGCUUUUUGAAAUACAAAAUGUUUUCUAGAAUCAGUGCAGCAAGUCAUUUGACCAAUUAUUGGUUCUUUCUUAACUAGAAAUCAAUGGUGAAGCGCACUGAACAUGAGCUCUAAUUCACUCAAAGCUCAUUGGCAAUUUAAAAUGAUACGUGCUUGCUUUUGCUUUUUGUCUAGGGUGGUAACAGCAUGUAACUCAACAUGAGUUUUAAAUAGGCAUCCUAGUGGGUGCAGAGCAUUUUGUAACUCGAGACAGCAGUUGCAAGUAGGAAAUCAAGUACUACUGUGGCACACACAUUUAAAGAAUAUUAAAUGCCCCAGGAAACAAGCUCUGACUGGUUUACUUUAGAAAGCUGCUGGUGAGAAGCAAAUGGGGACUAACAUAGGAAGGUGGCGGCUACAGAGGACUGUGACAUCUGAGAAAUAUCCAUGAACAUUCACAAUACCUGAACAGCAGAUGGUAUUCUCCUCUUCAUAAUAUCAAGGUGCCGGAGGAGGAUGGAGUCCAGUACCCUUCCAUGCUGUUGCUCACUGGAGACCACGAUGACAGAGUGGUGCCACUGCAGUCUGAAGUACAUCGCUACCUUGCAGCGGACUGUCCUAAACAGACCAACCCCUUGUUCAUCCAUGUUGAUACCACGUCAGGGCACAGUGCAAGGAAGCCAACCAGCAAAGUCAUACAGGAAGUGGCCGACAUGUUUGCCUUCAUUUCAUGGAUUAAAUAGGAACGCUGCAGUUCUCUCUAAAAGGAAAUAGAAUUAAGGGCUUUGAUAACUGCAAGAAUAAAAAAUACAUCUGGUUCUUUACUUACAUUUGAUAGUUUUAGAUACAGAUGCUUUUUAGAUUUAUUAAUCCAGAUUUUAAAAAUGGGAUGGUAAAAUGGGAACGUUGGCAUACUAAAAUAAAUCAAACGUUUUUUUGUGUUGGGUUUCUAUGUGAGAAAUGCUGAAAGUUACGGUUACAUUAAAUGCAGCUCUAGCGCACCCUACGUAUUUUGUAGAAAGAACCAGUUACUUAUUAUUGAUUAACACUAGCACAGAAACGGAAGAACAGUUGACUGCCAAACGUUUCAUUCGAUUCUGAAAGCACUACAGUUGUCUAAUUAGAGUCUUUUAUUCUCUUUAAUACAGACCCAAAGUUACAAAUAUGUUUAUGUUUGUACAAUAACUUACAUGAUGGUUCAUAGUUACAUUACUUUAUGGAUUUCACAAAUCAGCACAACAAAACCUAACAGCAAAAAGUAAUAUUGUGUUCUAUAAGUAAUCAGCUGAAAAGUAAGUUUAAUAUAAUAAUUUUUAAUUGAAUAUAUUAAGUAUUGUUCCACAGUAACAGUAUCAAUGCCAUGGAAUACAAUUGUAUGUAUUCCAUAUUUCUUUUUAUGGAACAGGUCAUGUUUAUUCACAUAAGCUUACAGUAGUGGUGAUGCACUUUAACAACACAAGACCAGAGGUUCAAAUGCUAUGUAAAGCAGGUUGAUACAGAAAAUAAUAUUGAGAGCAUGUUAUUUGUUGAAAAACAGUAUUUAAGCUUUUAACAAUAUAACUCUGCUGAUUGUUUUCUGUGAUCCUCCUGGGCUGUUUGAUAUCUCAAUUGUUUUUCUUUUUAUUUUUUUAUUUUUUUAGAUUAAAUUGAAUUUCUACCUCUGGACAAACAGUAACUGUGUCCACAUUUACCUCUUUAAAUGCAUGUCAUAGCAACAAUAAACAUUGCAUACUAAACCAUGGUUCUUUGCUUCAAGAC